Molecule: transfer RNA, 37 nt
Filed under: uncultured eukaryote
Lineage: Eukaryota
Description: partial Selenocysteine transfer RNA
Source: RNAcentral
UGGGAACCUCCGGGGGGGGGUUCGAUUCCUUCGUACC